Molecule: ribosomal RNA, 253 nt
Filed under: uncultured bacterium
Lineage: Bacteria
Description: partial 16S ribosomal RNA
Rfam family: Bacterial small subunit ribosomal RNA
Source: RNAcentral
UACGUAGGCAGCGAGCGUUGUUCGGAAUUACUGGGCGUAAAGAGUGUGUAGGCGGUGCUCUAAGUUCGGUGUGAAAUCUCCUGGCUCAACUGGGAGGGUGCGCCGGAAACUGGAGUGCUUGAGCGUGGGAGAGGAAAGCGGAAUUCCUGGUGUAGCGGUGAAAUGCGUAGAUAUCGGGAAGAACACCCGUGGCGAAGGCGGCUCUCUGGGACGGUACUGACGCUGAGACGCGAAAGCGUGGGGAGCGAACAGG